This 474-nucleotide long non-coding RNA is filed under the name Lathyrus oleraceus (garden pea). RNAcentral's name for it is "Pisum sativum (pea) long non-coding RNA (PSAT_LNC033853)". Lineage: Eukaryota; Viridiplantae; Streptophyta; Magnoliopsida; Fabales; Fabaceae. The record is from RNAcentral.
UUCGUCUCUUUUACUGAUCAAAUAUGCUCAAUGUAUUUGGGCAUAAAAACCGACAUCUUUUCAAAGUGCUCUGAUACCAAUUGUGGAAAAAUAACAAAAAAUAAAUAAAUUUAUACGUUCGCAGAAGAAUACCUACAAAAAAAAGAAUAAAAAAACAUAAAAAAUAAAACUCACAAAAUCAUAAUUCAACUGGUAAUUUUUACAAUGACAAAAUUACAAACUCUCCCAUAUAAUUAUAAUUUUUAAGUUAAAAAUUGCAAACCCACCAAAUUAUAAUUUUUGAACGGAAAAAUUAUAAACCCUCAAUUAUAAUUUUUGGACGGAAAAAUUGCAAACUCUCUCACAAUUCCAAUUUUUGGACAUAAAAAUUGUAAACCCUCUCUCAACUACAAUUUUUGGAUGGAAAAAUUAUAAACCCUUUCAACAAACUAUUUUUGAACGGAAAAAUAGAAAACUCUUUCAACAAACUAUUUU